This 2801-nucleotide ribosomal RNA is filed under the name Drosophila erecta. Its description in RNAcentral is "eukaryotic LSU rRNA". The stretch from base 738 to 2801 matches the Rfam family "Eukaryotic large subunit ribosomal RNA". The record is from RNAcentral. Lineage: Eukaryota; Metazoa; Arthropoda; Insecta; Diptera; Drosophilidae.
CUGGACGCUUCUGGUCGAUCGCUUGCUUCAAGCGGUCCAGUUGUUCGCAGUAGAUGGUAGAAUUAAGCGUCUGGCCAUAUGGGAGCAGCUCAUAGUGGAUGAUUCCCUUCCAAUCCCACCAACCACACAGCAAAACCUUCCUGGCCGUCAAUCCCGGCUUGGCCACUGUUUGGGACGAUUCACCGGCCUUCGACCACGACCGUUUUCGCUUGAUAUUGUCGUCCGCUUCAAGAAUGGGUCGAGUUCGUUCCGUUUCAGCAGCAUAUCGCAGGCGUUGAUUCGGUCCAGAAGGUUGUUUUGCGUCAAAUCAUGCGGCACCCAAACAUCAAGCUUUUUUUUGUAUCCAGCCUUCUGCAGAUGGUUUAAAAUGGUUUGGUGACUAACUCCCAUCUCCUGGGCGAUGUCACGAGAUGCCACAUGCCGGUCUAACUCGAUGUAUUCCAUGAUUUGAUCGGUAUUUGUCGUCACAGGACUUCCGCCGGCUGGCUUAUCCAUGGUGUCGUUUUCACCGGCUCUGAAUCGUCGAAACCAUUCCUCCGCGGUUCGAAGUGAUAGAGUACCAUCCCCCAAAACACCAUUAAUCUCACGGAACGUUUCUCUGGCGGAUUUGCCUUUAACGAAGGAAAACUUUAAAAUAGCGCGAAUUUCGGCGUUAGUGAACUCCAUGCUUACACGUCUAUAACUGUUGAACGCAAUAUCCAAACUAAUCAUAGCGUCGUUUUGUAGGUUAUGUCAAGACCUUUCAAAUUAUGUAUAGUAUUGCCAGAUACGAGCUCUGUAGCGCUUUGUACAUAGCCGCGAAAUUCAAAAGACAAAAAGGCGGAAGGGAGAUAUUUACCAAACUAAUACAUACUGUUGUGUCGAUAUUUUCUCCUCGGACCUUGAAAAUUUAUGGUGGGGACACGCAAACUUCUCAACAGGCCGUACCAAUAUCCGCAGCUGGUCUCCAAGGUGAAGAGUCUCUAGUCGAUAAAAUAAUGUAGGUAAGGGAAGUCGGCAAAUUAGAUCCGUAACUUCGGGAUAAGGAUUGGCUCUGAAGAUUGAGAUAGUCGGGCUUGAUUGGGAAACAAUAACAUGGUUUAUGUGCUCGUUAUGCGCUACUUGUUCCCCGGAUAGUUUAGUUACGUAGCCAAUUGUGGAACUUUCUUGCUAAAAUUUUUAAGAAUGCUAUUUGGGUUAAACCAAUUAGUUCUCAUUAAUUAUAACGAUUAUCAAUUAACAAUCAAUUCAGAACUGGCACGGACUUGGGGAAUCCGACUGUCUAAUUAAAACAAAGCACUGUGAUGGCCCUAGCGGGUGUUGACACAAUGUGAUUUCUGCCCAGUGCUCUGAAUGUCAAAGUGAAGAAAUUCAAGUAAGCGCGGGUCAACGGCGGGAGUGACUAUGACUCUCUUAAGGUAGCCAAAUGCCUCGUCAUCUAAUUAGUGACGCGCCUGAAUGGAUUAACGAGAUUCCCACUGUCCCUAUCUCGGGUGCUGUGACCCAUAGAACAGUAGAGAUUUUAGGUAGAUCUAGCUCCUCAGCAAGGGGGAGUGCUUGCCCGGCAAGCAAGCACUCCAAUUGCUACCGGGGUGGUCGCUAUGUACAUAGCUAUAGCUUCCAGACCGGGACGUUUUGUCUAGCGUAUUUGGACACAUGCAUCAUAUGCUCACUUGUGGGUGUAUAGGGUGCCGUGGUUGUAAUCCCUUCAAUGUGGAACACGCCACGUAAAACAAGUUCGGAGGGAUCGGAUUCAUACAUACACUGUCCCUAUCUACUAUCUAGCGAAACCACAGCCAAGGGAACGGGCUUGGAAUAAUUAGCGGGGAAAGAAGACCCUUUUGAGCUUGACUCUAAUCUGGCAGUGUAAGGAGACAUAAGAGGUGUAGAAUAAGUGGGAGAUAUUAGACCUCGGUUUGGUAUUGUCAAUGAAAUACCACUACUCUUAUUGUUUCCUUACUUACUUGAUUAAAUGGAACGUGUAUCAUUUCCUAGCUAUUAAACGGAUAUAUUUAUUAUAUCUUAUGGUAUUGGGUUUUGAUGCAAGCUUCUUGAUCAAAGUAUCACGAGUUUGUUAUAUAAUCGCAAACAAAUUCUUUAAUAAAACGAUGCAUUUAUGUAUUUUUGAUUUGAAAAUUUGGUAUAACUCCAAUUACACAGGUAUGAUCCAAUUCAAGGACAUUGCCAGGUAGGGAGUUUGCCUGGGGCGGUACAUCUCUCAAAUAAUAACGGAGGUGUUCCAAGGCCAGCUCAGUGCGGACAGAAACCACACAUAGAGCAAAAGGGCAAAUGCUGACUUGAUCUCGGUGUUCAGUACACACAGGGACAGCAAAAGCUCGGCCUAUCGAUCCUUUUGGUUUAAAGAGUUUUUAACAAGAGGUGUCAGAAAAGUUACCAUAGGGAUAACUGGCUUGUGGCGGCCGAGCGUUCAUAGCGACGUCGCUUUUUGAUCCUUCGAUGUCGGCUCUUUCUAUCAUUGUGAAGCAAAAUUCACCGAGCGUUGGAUUGUUCACCCAUGCAAGGGAACGUGAGCUGGGAUUAGACCGUCGUGAGACAGGUUAGUUUUACCCUACUAAUGACAAAACGUUGUUGCGACAGCAUUCCUGCGUAGUACGAGAGGAACCGCAGGUACGGACCAAUGGCACAAUACUUGUUCGAGCGAACAGCAUAUAAAUAAGCAGCAUACAUAUAAAAGCAUUAUUUAAUACAAUGACAAAGCCUAGAAUCAAUUGUAAACGAUUUUUGUAACAGGCAAGGUGUUGUAAGUGGUUGAGCAGCUGCCAUACUGCGAUCCACUGAAGCUUAUCAUUUGCUUGAUGAUU